RNAcentral lists this long non-coding RNA (505 nucleotides) under Monodelphis domestica (gray short-tailed opossum). RNAcentral's name for it is "lncRNA (ENSMODG00000037736.1)". Lineage: Eukaryota; Metazoa; Chordata; Mammalia; Didelphimorphia; Didelphidae. The record is from RNAcentral.
GACAGAAUAGGAUGUCAAAAGAGGAAAGAAUUCAUUGCUAAUAACCAACCACCAUCAACCCAUUAUGUUGUUACUCUGAAAGAACACCGACUUAGCUAGAAUUAUACAGACAUUACUGGCACAGUUACUUGGGCUCUAAAUCUCCCAACAAAUCUCAAAUUUGUCAAGGAAAAUGGGCAUAAAACAUGCUGCAAUCAAGUGAUACUCUCAGUUAACUAUGAAUCUACUAAUAAUAGAAAAGCUGACAAUCUGUGCAAAGUGCUGCAGAUUCAUCACUGUAGCAAUAACAAAUGGCUGUAAAAAUACCAUACGAUUCCUCUUCCUGCUACCCUCAGUGGGAACAAAACUGAUACAGAAGGUUUGGGCUACAAGUCAAAAAAGAAGAUAAACAAACGGAGCUAACAGUUGGGAGUAGGAUUAGCGAAAACGGUCUCAUGAGAUGUCUGUUAGGGGAAUGGACAAGACUGAUAAUAACAAAUGGAAAUAAAGAACAAGCACAUAAACA